CGGGUGAGUAAUGUCUGGCAAACUGUCUGAUGGAGGGGGAUAACUACUGGAAACGGUAGCUAAUACCGCAUAACGUCGCAAGACCAAAGAGGGGGACCUUAGGGCCUCUUGCCAUCGGAUGUGCCCAGAUGGGAUUAGCUAGUAGGUGGGGUAACGGCUCACCUAGGCGACGAUCCCUAGCUGGUCUGAGAGGAUGACCAGCCACACUGGAACUGAGACACGGUCCAUACUCCUACGGGAGGCAGCAGUGGGGAAUAUUGCACAAUGGGCGCAAGCCUGAUGCAGCCAUGCCGCGUGUAUGAAGAAGGCCUUCGGGUUGUAAAGUACUUUCAGCGGGGAGGAAGGGAGUAAAGUUAAUACCUUUGCUCAUUGACGUUACCCGCAGAAGAAGCACCGGCUAACUCCGUGCCAGCAGCCGCGGUAAUACGGAGGGUGCAAGCGUUAAUCGGAAUUACUGGGCGUAAAGCGCACGCAGGCGGUUUGUUAAGUCAGAUGUGAAAUCCCCGGGCUCAACCUGGGAACUGCAUCUGAUACUGGCAAGCUUGAGUCUCGUAGAGGGGGGUAGAAUUCCAGGUGUAGCGGUGAAAUGCGUAGAGAUCUGGAGGAAUACCGGUGGCGAAGGCGGCCCCCUGGACGAAGACUGACGCUCAGGUGCGAAAGCGUGGGGAGCAAACAGGAUUAGAUACCCU
RNAcentral lists this ribosomal RNA (689 nucleotides) under Enterobacteriaceae bacterium HGH0220. RNAcentral's name for it is "bacterial SSU rRNA". It matches the Rfam family "Bacterial small subunit ribosomal RNA", at positions 103 to 788 of the family's 1533-position model. The record is from RNAcentral. Lineage: Bacteria; Pseudomonadati; Pseudomonadota; Gammaproteobacteria; Enterobacterales; Enterobacteriaceae.